This 636-nucleotide ribosomal RNA is filed under the name Brevundimonas sp.RP2. RNAcentral's name for it is "bacterial SSU rRNA". It matches the Rfam family "Bacterial small subunit ribosomal RNA", at positions 55 to 737 of the family's 1533-position model. The record is from RNAcentral. Lineage: Bacteria; Pseudomonadati; Pseudomonadota; Alphaproteobacteria; Caulobacterales; Caulobacteraceae.
CUGCAAGUCGAACGAACUCUUCGGAGUUAGUGGCGGACGGGUGAGUAACACGUGGGAACGUGCCUUUAGGUUCGGAAUAACUCAGGGAAACUUGUGCUAAUACCGAAUGUGCCCUUCGGGGGAAAGAUUUAUCGCCUUUAGAGCGGCCCGCGUCUGAUUAGCUAGUUGGUGAGGUAAAGGCUCACCAAGGCGACGAUCAGUAGCUGGUCUGAGAGGAUGAUCAGCCACAUUGGGACUGAGACACGGCCCAAACUCCUACGGGAGGCAGCAGUGGGGAAUCUUGCGCAAUGGGCGAAAGCCUGACGCAGCCAUGCCGCGUGAAUGAUGAAGGUCUUAGGAUUGUAAAAUUCUUUCACCGGGGACGAUAAUGACGGUACCCGGAGAAGAAGCCCCGGCUAACUUCGUGCCAGCAGCCGCGGUAAUACGAAGGGGGCUAGCGUUGCUCGGAAUUACUGGGCGUAAAGGGAGCGUAGGCGGACAUUUAAGUCAGGGGUGAAAUCCCGGGGCUCAACCUCGGAAUUGCCUUUGAUACUGGGUGUCUUGAGUAUGAGAGAGGUGUGUGGAACUCCGAGUGUAGAGGUGAAAUUCGUAGAUAUUCGGAAGAACACCAGUGGCGAAGGCGACACACUGGCUCAU